CCAACGAACUCGCAUUUUUUUUUUUUUUUAAGUCCGGCCUUUCCUAGGUGGGGUCAAGGGCCCCGCCCACCGAAGCCACGCCCAGCAGCCGCCCCGGGGCGGGGCUCUCCUGGGCUCCCGCCUGCCCUUUCCCCUCCGGCCUCUGCCGGUGCUGCUGCACCCUGCGGAGCUCCGAGCACGUGCGCGCCUAAGUUACCGAGUUUUGAGGGCAGGGACUCUGAGCUGCACACGUGUUCUCUGUUGGCUGACUAACCUGGAGUUUCAUUGCAGAGAGGCCAGCUAUGGCAGAUGGAACUGCAGGAUGCCUUGAAAGUAGGGCAUCCUUCAGCCAUCUGAAGAGAGGAAAUAAUGGCAGAUGACCGUCUGCAUAUGCAGUUUUUUUCAGAUGCCUUCACCUGAGUGACAUCUAACUCCAUCAGGACCACAGAUGUCUGACAGCCCUGUGCAACACCAAGAUAACUAAUGUAUGUAUGUAUGUUGUCUUUUUGUCAUGUAGGUCUCAAUUAACUUAUUAUAGCUCAGAUGGGGAUGGGGGCUUAAAAGUAUGUUUUUAAAAUUUAUGUAGAGAAAAAUAAAAAUAAAAAUAAAAAAAAUUUAUGUAGAGUAUCAGAAUUUUAGAGAAUUCUUAGAAUCUAAAGUCCAGCCCCUCAUUUUCUAGAGCUCUGCUGUGCAAUAGCUAUAUGCUACAUGUGGCUGUGUAAGUUUGUAAAAAGUGAAAUCACUGGCUGGGCACAGCG
Molecule: non-coding RNA, 737 nt
Organism: Saimiri boliviensis boliviensis (Bolivian squirrel monkey)
Lineage: Eukaryota; Metazoa; Chordata; Mammalia; Primates; Cebidae
Source: RefSeq, a predicted model, not a curated record